Molecule: long non-coding RNA, 10950 nt
Filed under: Triticum aestivum (bread wheat)
Lineage: Eukaryota; Viridiplantae; Streptophyta; Magnoliopsida; Poales; Poaceae
Description: long non-coding RNA (TAES_LNC007938)
Source: RNAcentral
AGACCGCAGUGUGAUUGAUCCAUGUUCAUAUUACAUGAUGCAAAAGCACAAAAACGGACUGCCAUGGUGUGCCACCAGAAACUUUACUUAGGAGAUUGGCAAAAGAUGGAAGCAUUUAAGUCUACAGUUCUCACCUCCUGGGUAUCUCUGCUGUUUGUCACUGGUUUGUUUUCGUUAUACUCAAGAAUAAUGUGCUUCAAUAGAGUGUUGGGAAUGUCCUUUACAAUGUGCCACUUGACGGGGAAGCAGCCAGUCCACUUGUCUUGCUGCCAGUAUUCAACUGUCUUGUUAAAAUCAACCUGGCCAACCAUCUCAGCAAGUCCAAUGAACUGACCGCUGGUGUUGACCUGAGAAAAAAGAGGAACAAGGAAAGAUGCAUCAGAUCAGCAACCACUAUGAAGACUGUUCAGAUAGAAAAAAACAAGCUGUUUUAGCAGCACGGAACUAUUAUGCACUUACAGAGAACAAUAGAAAUACAGGUGAAUUGCUUGAUUUGUCUUUAGCUGCUUGAUAAGCAGCAUCAAGCCUUUUAUUUCCACUGGGGGUGCUUGCCCAAACAUUGUACUUGAUGCUCUUGUGAACAUCAUCCUCGCUGUAAGAUUUUAUAAUGAAGAACUUGGCAUCUGAGUAAGUUUCAGCAAAGUCAGCCUUAUUGUACUGAUCCUGCACAACUGCAUUUGAGGCAUCGCCAGUAGGAAGCUCCUGUCCUUUUGCAGGUGCAACAGCAGCUUCUCCAGUACCCUGCUCAUUUUUAAUGGCAGUGCUUCUUGGCCCUCUCUUCAGCUCAUUCAAGCCAUCUAUGUUCUCAUUACCGAAACGAUAUGAUCCAUAGGUUUUUGGUCUGGGCUUGUACUUUCCAUCUGACAGCACAUUCCACCCACCAUACAUACCAGAGCCAUAGAGGUGAGAUCCAUACCAAUAGUCAGGUCCAUAUGCAUUUGCAUUGUACAUGACACUAGAGUACAUGGAACUCAUGUACCCAGGUGUCUGUGGCCCCAUUGCAGAGUUUUGCCCAAGCAAUCCCUGCAAGAUAUGUCUCCAUGUUAAGAACAGGCUAUUUCAAUACAUAAAACAUAUGAGCUUACAGAUAUGCAGAAUACAAAAUUUUCACUUUGACCUGGCAAAAUUAAUUAUGGAGUGUGCCCUCGGAUAACCCCAAUGAUAUGCAGCUAAUUACAAUGACAUACAUCACAAACCAUCCAAAUAGGUGCUUUCACAAAUGAUAUCAAACCAUAUUGGUAGGAUCAAGCAACAAGCAGCAAUACUCAAAAUUAUUGAAAAUAUAUAGCGACUCAUAAUUGCUGAAAAUCUGUUAUGCAGACAUCUGAACAAAGACCAGAAAGCUACACAGAAAUAGCUCUCUGGGGAAGAACAAUAUGCACACCAGAAAUGAAAAACAGUAACGAAUUCUGAUUCUACGACUGUACCUUGGUUUUAGGAUUAGAAGCAGUUGAUGUAGUAUUUCCAACAGGGAGUUUCUGCUGAGUAUGACCACCAUACGAUGGAUAAGCAGCUUUAUCACCAUUGUUCUGAUAACUAGCUGAACGCCCACUUGGUUUCACGGGGUAUGUCGUUUUCUUCAGACCUGUUGAACCAUCAGCGCUGGUUGAAUUGGCUUUGGAAGCAUUCACUAAUCCAGGCUUCUGAUAAGCAGCAGGUGCAGCAGAAGCAUCCUUCUGCGGUAAAGGAUCUGAUUUGCCAGCAUUAGGCUUGUACGCUGGCUUAGUGGUGCUAGUAGUCUGUGGCUGGAGAAACGUGGAUGGGUACUGGUAAUGCUGAGAUCCGUACAUCUGCCCAUCAUACCCAGAUGAAGCAACACCAUACUGAGGAUAGCAAUACAUGUCCCCAUAAGCACCCUGCAGAAAACCAACAGGCUAAACUAAGUCAUCCUAACACACUUCACAUGCAGCGAAAAUCUUCAAGAUGCUUUACAGUGGCGAUUAGUUUUGCCGGGUCGGCCAUCCAAUUAAAGCAGGUAGACCCCAAGUGUCAGCAAGGUAUGCAAAGUAUACAGGAUAUAACACUCACAGGGUUAAGUGACUCUGCUCCGUCAAGGCCCACAUACACUGAAUAAUCCCCCCAGCCUGCAAAUCCCAGAAGGCAUUGCUAUCAGACUAUCUCCAAUUUCGAACAAAUAUUUAUGAUUUAACUACAAAUUCGCACUGCGAUAACUAAUUCAAUAGUAGAAAUAGACAGCAACAGAGUAAAUGGUGCCUUGGUGCCUUGGUGCCUCACCUCCAUAGUAAUACUGGUAGGCGUCAGCGCCAGCACCAUACAUGUUGGCGUUCUUGUAGUCCUGCAGCCCCAUGGCUGGCCACUGCCCCGCCGACGCCACCUGAGGGCUUGGAGACGCCACCACGCCGUUCAGCCUGCCAUUGGGCGCUGCCGAGACCUGCACCGUGAUACAAAUUCAGACCAUGGAAAGCCCACCACAACAACACCAUCACGGCCGCGCAACAAGAUGGUACAGACUAUAGAGAGAAGCGGCGGGCCAUACCUUCCUCUGCGCCUCUUUGCCCUGGCCGGCCACGCCCUUUGGAUCCAGCGACAGCUUGUGCAGCAAAUCCGCGGCGUCUGCAUCACGGCAGGUCAAGGGGGAACCGAUACGGACAUGUCCGAAAUAUAAACAGGCAAACUAAUAAUCCAGAAAAUCACGGGGUUUGAGUGAAAUUCGAAGCACCAGGAGCGAGUACGCCCCCCAAAACACACGGAAACAAAAUCCCCUACGCUCCGGUCGCGGCCGUAACCUCACCCGACACCCCCAGCGAGGAAGCGCGCCUACGGCCUCCCCCCAGCAAAAACCCCUCCCGAAUCCCGGCGGGAACCUCCGCGGAACCGAGGAGACCUGACCGGGCACCGGGAGAUCCGGCCGCGGGCGACACGCCCCGACACCCGCCCGCUAAAACCCAACGGAAAUUCGAAGAGAGAGAUAAAAAAAAAAGCGCAGCCAAACCAGGGGAACUGCGCGACGGGCAAAAGGAUACGGUCGGCGGCGCGAGCGGCGGCGGGGGCCAUGGCGGCGGUGCGGUCCGGNNNNNNNNNNNNNNNNNNNNNNNNNNNNNNNNNNNNNNNNNNNNNNNNNNNNNNNNNNNNNNNNNNNNNNNNNNNNNNNNNNNNNNNNNNNNNNNNNNNNNNNNNNNNNNNNNNNNNNNNNNNNNNNNNNNNNNNNNNNNNNNNNNNNNNNNNNNNNNNNNNNNNNNNNNNNNNNNNNNNNNNNNNNNNNNNNNNNNNNNNNNNNNNNNNNNNNNNNNNNNNNNNNNNNNNNNNNNNNNNNNNNNNNNNNNNNNNNNNNNNNNNNNNNNNNNNNNNNNNNNNNNNNNNNNNNNGGGGGUAAAACCCAGAGAAACCCUCGCGGUGGAUGGGGGGCGGGGUGGGGUGGGGGUGGGGGGAGGGCACCGCGGCGUGGGAGAAAAGAAAGAAAGGGGAGGGAGGCGAGGGAAACGAGUGGAGGGAGGACGGCGUUAAGUAUUUCGCGUCGCUGUGGGGUUUGGAGGUUUUAAUGCUUUCCUUCCCGCUUGCUUUGGAUUUUUGCGAUCGGAUUUUAUUACUGCUCUCCGCCCGUCCGUCGAUCGAUCCAUCGCGUGGGCCUCCUGGGCCUUUUGGGCUUUUCGGUGGAGGACAAACAAAUGGGGGGGCCGCUUCCGUGCACACGUUUCGAUCUCACAACUUCAGAUGAUACCGCUAAAAAAACUCAACAUAGAAAAAGGAAACAGCAUCAUGUGGUUCCACUAAGAAUUUCAACCCUGGUGUGGUGUAAGAAACAAAAAUUGUUCACCAAAAGUCUCUUGGACACGACGUCUGCUGAGUACUAUGCGUGACAGCGUGAGUACGUUUUUUUAGAUACAUGUGCAUGUAAGUACGUUUUGUUUCUAGUAGUACCCAAUGAUGAUGAGAAAUGGUUCACGGCUUUCCGGGGUGAGAAAAAUAGGCUCUAAAAUAUACAUCUAUUCCAUAAAAAUAGAAAAUAUGCAUCUAUCUUCCUUCUCUUCUGUAAUAAAACGAUUUAAAGAUGACACGAUUUAUCCUGACUUCUAUGGUUUGUUGUAUCCAAAACGAGAAGAACUUCACGGUUUUCGGUUUUCGGUUUUCAAAGGCCCGUGGACAUGAGCAAAGCAAGGUCAAGCCCCAAAAUUUGUAGUUCCAUCGUAAAUGGCUUAUUAUAAAGAUCUAAAACAAUAUGGAGAAAAAAACAUGUAUAAUUAUUCUAAAGAUUUAAAAUGUGCGGACAAACCACCGGAGCAGCAGAGCAGUGAAAGAAUACGGUCGGCGGCGAGGGCCAUGGAGGAGGUCCGGGUCACGGCGCGUGCCGGCGCGAAGGAUAAAACCCAGAGAAACCUUCGCGCUGGAUACGGAGGGGAGGGAAGGCGCCGCAACCUGAGAGAAAAGAAAGAAAUAAAAGGAAGAAGCAAGCGAGAGAAACAAGUGGAGGAAGGGGUAUUUAAGUAUGUCAUCAUGGGGUUUCGAGGGUUUUAAUGAUUUCCUUUUGGCUUGCUUUGGACUAGUGUUGGGGGGCUGAUUGCGCGUCGCCUGAGAUGAAGGUGUGUGCUUGUUUUUUCAUUUUUCUUGAAGAAAAAAGAAAGAACACAAUACCCUCACCUCCAUCUUACCAAAAAUAAACUUUUCUGACCUUAGCCAAACAGCAAAUGACGGCCCUGUUUGGAUCCUCAAGUUAAAGUUAGUUUUAGUUAGUUGGGUCUCAAAUAACCCAAAAGGAUCUAAACAAGAUGGGUUAGUUUGGGUUAGUUGGAUCUAACCCACCCAAAAAAAUAGCCCACACUAGAGGAGCUUAUUUGGGUUAGUUUUUCUGGGCCCACUGAAAAAAUAGUAAAAAACUCGCCCCUCCCGCACCAGAUCCCUUCUCCCCACCCACCUCGCAUGACUCCUCCCCAUCGCGCCGCUCGCCCAAGCGUCGCGCCGUGCGCCGCCUGAACCCCGGGAGCGCCCUUCUGCGGCCCCGCUCGCCCUCCUCCGGCCGCUGCUCGCGCUGCUCCCUCCUCACCGGCCACCGCUCGCCCUCCUCCGGUCGUCGCUCGCCCAGGGCCGGCCCGGGCCCCCCAAAACCAGCCCCCCCCCUGAGGUAUGCAUGUAGUAGGAGGGCGCCAGGAGUAGGAGGCCCGAUCGGCAAAAAAGAGAAAGAAACCAGGCCCAAUCGGCAAUAGCGAUGCCCGAUCCCAACGGCCAGCGAUCGCGAGAUCGUUCCCAGGAAACAGCCAGAGAUCCUCUGGAAAAAAAGAAAGAUAGCGAAUUAGAGAGCAAUCAGCGCCUGGACGCGAUUCCCUUCCUGUUACGUUCGACGCCUUUCUUCCAUCACGAAGAGUUCCCAGGUCCCAGCCCUACGCCCCUACCUGCUAGCCGCCGAUGCCGUGCACGCACAGACGCACUCCGACCUCGCCAUCCCCUGGUAAUUUCCUUUCUAAUUUGAUUAUGUUGGUCGUUGUUUUCAGUUCUAGGGCCUCCAUCUUCACCCCAGGGCCUGCUUCACCCUCCUUUGGUCUUUGCUCAAUUGCUCUCCUCUCGGCAAUCUGCAGACUCUAGACACGUACAGACUACUGAAGUUUCAUCGUCAGGAUUCUGGACAUUAGGUAUUGAGGUAUAUUAUUCAUACAAAAAAUUCUUUGGACUUUGGUUUACAGCUAGCACCGUUCAACAAUUGAUUCAAUAUUAUUUUUUCAGCAUUGUGUUUGUUCUCAUGGCGCCCAGCAAGAGGAACUAUCCAUCGGGUAGCCACAAAAGGAAAAAAAGGAGAAAGAGAAUAAACUUAUAAAGUCACAGCGCGGAGGUAUUCGCAAUUUUUUCAUGCCAAGUGAUAUUGGUGCCUGUAUUACUCCGCCGGACCCAGCUGAUGCGUUGGCGAUUGUUGCCAUUGUGGAAGAGCAACAAACUAAUGAAAACUCGGACUCUAAUCAGCAAGAAGAAAAUAUCAACUCCAACAUCGGCGAUGACAAUGUAAGUGGCUCCGAGAAUGUAAGUAAUUCGUCGGAUGCACAUGCCCAACCUGCUAGUGUUGAUGAACAACCAGUUUAUACUGCCGAUAUUUAUGAUCCAAAAAACUGGGAUAAUCUUGAUAAUAAAGCAAGAGAUAUCUUAGUUGAGAAAGGGCCUAUCAGAGAGGAAAAAAUGGAAUACCAUGUAGAUGAAACAGGAAGACAUUUUUCGUAUGCUCAUUAUCAUAGAAAAUUAAGCAAUGGAGAGGAACAUGAUAGGAAAUGGCUAGUUUAUUCAAAAAAUGUCAAUAAAAUUUUUUGUUUCUGUUGUAAGAUCUUCAAGUCUAGCACCAACAGGAGUCAGAGUUCCUUAGCACAUGAUGGACUAGGACAUUGGAGGCAUAUUAGUGAGAAGCUCAAAGAACAUGAAAAUAGCAUUGAGCAUAUUAAUAACAUGAACAAGUGGAAUGAAUUGAGAGUUAGACUGAGAAAACAGGAAACUAUUGAUAAGGAUUUGCAACAUCAAAUAACAAAGGAGAAAGAACGUGUCAGGCAAGUUCUGUUCAGAAUAAUAGCAGUUGUGAAAUAUCUUGGUAAACGCAACUUGGCUUUUCGUGGAAGUAGUGAGCAACUUUACAAGGAUGAUAAUGGUAAUUUCUUAGCUUGCAUUGAGAUGAUUGCAGAAUUUGAUAUGGUAAUGCAAGAUCACCUUAGACGUGUUGAGAACAAGGAAAUCCAUUAUCACUAUCUCAGUCAUAAAAUACAAAAUGAGCUGAUAUCUCUUUUGGCUUCUGACAUCACAUGUUCUAUCAUAAAGGUUGUUAAAGAGGCCAAGUAUUUCUCUGUUAUCCUAGAUUGUACCCCUGAUGUUAGUCAUCAAGAACAAAUGACCUUUUUAAUUCGAUGUGUUAAUCUGUCUGAUGGCAAAAUAAAAUUUGAGGAGUACUUUCUGGGGUUCUUGAAAGUGGAUGACACUUCUGGCUUAGGGAUUUUUAAAGUACUGCUUGAUUCUGUUGAGUCUUCUGGCCUAAAUAUUCAAGAUAUAAGGGGUCAAGGAUAUGAUAACGGUUCUAAUAUGAAAGGAAAAUACCAAGGGGUACAAUCUAGGUUACUUGAUAUGAAUCCAAGAGCAUUAUAUAUGCCAUGUGCUUGUCAUAGCCUAAAUCUCACUCUCUGUGAUAUGGCAAAAUCAUGUGAGAAAGCUGUUUCAUUUUUUGGAAUUGUUCAACGCAUAUAUGUAUUAUUUGCUGGCUCUACAAAAAGGUGGAAUGUUUUGCUUAAACAUGUUCCUAGUUUGACCGUGAAAUCAUUGUCCAAUACUCGUUGGGAGAGUAGAAUCAAAAGUGUUACAGCAAUAAGAUAUCAAGCCGCUGAGUUAAGGUCACCUUUGUCUGAGUUACGUCAUGCUUCUGACACUGAUCCUAAAGAUAAAAGUGAUGCCAAAAAUUUAUUUGAUGCACUUGGUCGCUUUGAGUUUCUAGUUGGUAUGAUUAUCUGGCAUGAUGUUCUAUUUGCUGUAAAUAAAGUUAGCAAGAUGUUGCAAUCGUCAACCAUGUGCAUUGACUCCGCUUUGAAGCAAAUAAAAGGUAUAACAAAAUAUUUUGAGAAGUACAAAGAUGAGGGGUUUUCUUCAAGUCUGACCAUCGCUAAAGGUAUUGCAACUGAAAUGGGAAUAGAGCCAUUGUUUCCAGUAAAACGUCAUGCUAAGAGGAAGAAACAGUAUGAUGAAAGUGAUUGUCAAGAAGAAAUCUUGGAAGCUGAGAAGGCUUUCCAAGUUAAAUAUUUUAAUGUUUUGGUUGAUAUGGUGAUCACUUCUUUGAAUGAUAGAUUUAAAGAACUCAUGGUCUUUAAAGAUAUACUCGGAUUUUUAUUGAGCUCGGGCACUCUCACGUCAUUAAGUGACAAUGAACUUGAAAUGUUGCACAAAAUUUGCAGAAACUUUCUCUCUUAAUGGUUCAUCUGAUGUUGAGGUAUACGAUCUUAUUUCUGAAUUGAAGAUUAUGAGAUUCACUUUGCCAGAUGGCGCAAUGUCUGCUAUGGAGAUUUUCAGGCAUGUCAGAGAAGUUGAUUGUUACCCCAAUAUAUCCAUUGCCUAUCGCAUCUUAUUUACUGUGCUUGUGACGGUUUUCAAAGUUGAAAUUAUUGAAGAAUUAUUUGAGGUCAACCAUGACUCAAGAGAGGUUAAAUGGUUUGGCCACAUUAUGCAUCGAGAAGAAAUUAUUGGAUGAGAUUGACAUCGACCCCAUCAUAAGUGACUUUGCAUCGAGGAAUGUUAGAAGAAAAUUUUAAGGUAUUAUGUAUUUUUUUUGAUACACAUACAGAUUUUGGAUUUAAUGUUACUAAUAAUAAUAAUAAUAAUAAUAAUGGCUUGUAUAUUAGGGCCCCCCCAAUUUUUAGUUCGCCCCGGGCCCCCGAAAUCUCAGGACCGGCCCUGCGCUCGCCCUCCUCCGGUCACCGCUCGCGCCGCUCCCUCCUCACCGGCCAUCGCUCACCCUCCUCCGGUAGCUUUCCUGCCUUCUAAAUGAUUUUGUUAUGAAAAAGAAAGUGGAUGCAACCAUGGUUGCAAAUUAAUUUGUUUCUAGUGCUGCAGAGUUUUGGAUGAAACAAAAAUAGAGAUGCUGGCCAUGUGUAGCUUCACUCAAAAUACUACGAAUGUGUUUAUGUCAAUUGUGAGCGGGAGAAGGCCACACAAGAGCCGGUCACGCCAAAUCCGGUAGGAAAUAGGAUCUAGAGUAGUCAAAUGAUUGAGAAAGAGCAUUUAUUUUCAAUCUAGCCCUACCAUCCAAACAACUCUUUGAUUAGAGUUAGUUUAGGGUUAGUUCAGGGUUAGAAUCUAACUCUAACUUCUAACCGAGUUAGAGUAUCCAAACAGAGCCGACAUGUGACCUUCACAUCUAUCUUGAAAAAAGAAAACUCAUUUUCAUUUGUGGUGCCACUUGGUAUAGCUGGUUGCUUGCCCUUCCUUCCCCCCUUAUUAAUGGGUUUAAUUUCUGUGCUUUACUGCUGUCCGUAGAUUGAUCGCGCGGCCCUCUUCCGUGAACAAGUUUUCAUCUUCUUUUCUUUAGAAGGUGCACACGUUGGAUCUGUGACUGACUUGUGAGGUGCUAAAGAACUUCAGGUGAUCUACUGUUAAAAAAAAGGCGACCCACUGCUCCAAAACUUAACAACAAAAACUACUGCUAAAAAAAUAGAUUAACUCCAAAAUGACAUUAGUCAUCUAAACACUCUUAUAUUUCUUUACGGAGGGAGUACCCUCCUAUACACUUGUAAAAAAGAGAAAUAACAUGUGGUUCUAAGAAUUUCAUUUUUGUUUGUGUAAAAAGACAAAAUUGUUCACCAAAAGUUUCUUGGACACGGUAUCAGCUGAAUACCAUGCGUGACAGCCUGAGUACGUUUUGUUUCUUCUACCCGAUAAUUGAAGAGAGUUCAGAACUUCUACAGUCUGUUAUAUCCAAAAUGAGAAGAACUUUCACGGUUUUGAAAAUGUAAAGGGGAGGUUCCAAAAUUCUUAAACAUUUUAGAUGUUAUAUUUGAAAGAUAUAGGUUUUUCUGAAGAAAAAAACAUGUGCAAUUACACUCAUUUUUCAGAAAAUUUUAGAACUUCUCACACCACUUCAGGUUAUUAUUUUUCGAAAACUGAAAGCUCAACGUAGGAGAAGAUUGUUGAAGAAAACAUGAGACGCAUCUGACACAUAGUACAUAAACACUGAAACAGACAAGUUACUUCUUGCAAAACCAGUACAAAUCACCACACCUAGGUACAUUUUCUACCGACGACAAGAUAAAAAAAGACAACACACCACCACCCCAGAUCAACAAAUGAUGAUCUCUAUCUCCUACCAGCCGAACUCAACUCCAAGAUAGAGAAAUACUAAUACAGGGGGGAAAUCUCAAGAGAAACCUAAUCAUAUGCCUCAAACUUUCUGCAAAAACACCUACGGAACCCCAACAGAGCCCUGAUUGCCUCCAACAGCUGAACCGCGCCAGCCUCCUCCAAAACUCCCAAGCUGUCAUGUCACCUUACUCACAACUCGACAGACAAAAAAAUCAGCAGCCAUUUGCGACAGCCAAGCUUGCGGCUGUGGGGUUAGCAUCUUCCGGGGCAACGCCACUCGCGGCAGCCGCCACCACAUUGUCUUCCGCCGCAGAUUUGUUCUCUCCGGUAACUUCAGGCUUCUGCGAUUCCUGCGCAUUGCCGGAAUCAUUUUCAGUGUUGUCAACAGUAGGCAGCAGCUUCGGACUCGUGAUCUGCAUAAUAAUCAAUAAAAGAAGUUUGAUGAGUAACAUGACAGUUUUAACAACUUCAGCCUUUCUAAUAGGUGACAAGUUGAUUGAAUCAGGGAAAGGACUCAAGGCUGAAAGGAGGUCAUGCAAACUACCAAAGCGGAAAAUGGAAGUCCUUACACUUUACAAGGAAGAUGGCUAAAACAGUGCUCACACCACACAAAAAAACUAGGAACACUCUAGAAUGGCAUUUAACUACAAUGUAAGCUAGCACAAAGAAUUACCCUUCACCAGAUCUAAGAGGCUCGCACCAACAACCUAAACUAACGUGCUAUGUAUUUACCUUCUUCAGUUGAUGCUGCCGCUGUGAUUUCCUCUCUUGCAUUAUCUUCUCACGGUUAUCAUAAAAGCUGAAGUCAUCCAGGAUGGAUGUUUUGGAGACAUGAUCCUUGAAAAUCUUCAACACCUGAAGGCCUUGCUCGAGCUUGACCUGCAGUAGGUAUGGGAAAGAAAGACAUUAAGCACAGUUUGACACCAGCAUGCAAAAUUUGCGAACACCUAUAAAGAUGUCAUAAUAACAGCAGCAUGCAUCAGACUUAUUAUGGCUUCUUGGUGUUUCAACAAUGAAAUGUACAGGCACUAUUCUCACCUCCUGUGUAUCUCUGCUGUUUGUCACAGGUUUGUUUUCAUUAUACUCGAGAAUGAUAUGCUUUAACAAGUUGUUGGGAAUAUCCUUGACAAUGUGCCACUUGACAGGGAAACAACCAGUCCACUUGUCUUGCUGCCAGUGUUCCACCGUCUU